Molecule: long non-coding RNA, 1747 nt
Filed under: Solanum tuberosum (potato)
Lineage: Eukaryota; Viridiplantae; Streptophyta; Magnoliopsida; Solanales; Solanaceae
Description: long non-coding RNA (STUB_LNC009294)
Source: RNAcentral
CAACUACAAGCCACAACAUAAUAUCCUUCAAUGAUCUAAUUGUCACGCCAUAAACACAAUUCAUCUCCAAAUUACAAAAACAAGUUCCAACUGGUCACUUGACUACAAUACGAAGGGCUAAUCAUGACUCAAAUAAAAGGAAUGACAAAUGGAGCGACUCUAAGAGUUUUUAAAGAAACUAAAUAAACCAUAGCAAAUCAAUAGUUCUCUUGCCACGCGAAGCAAUGCGAGGCUCACUAGAUUCUACCAAAUCACACUUUCUAGUUAAUGAAAUCCUCUUCAAUACCACCUGAGUUCUCUGUAAAAACAAUUAGCGAGGAGUGAGACGCUAGCUCAGUGAGUAAUAAACACUUAACCACAACCAUUUUUAAUAAGGGACAAGUCAGAAAACAUUGCUAGUAUAAUAAUCAAAAUCAUAUAAUAAUGUCUUUUCAGAAACAGUAACAAUAUUCAAUCUUAUUUGCCUCAUAUAAGCAAAAUCAAUGUAAAUACUUAAUAGUAAAUUCAGAAAAACAUUUCCAUAUCAAAUCUUAUUGUUGGGAGGUUUCCAAAGAUGAAUCAUGUAAUCAGUGUGGCCUUCUCUUUAAGAAGUAACCAAUAACAGUGAACUCCUCAUAAAGGAGUUAAAUAUUCAUAUCAGUAGAUCCCUACAAGAGGGAUAUCAGUAACAGUAUACUAGUUCUACCUUCCCACUAGCAAGGGCUUUAUCAGAAAUCAGUAACUACAAGGUGCACCAGGUCUAACGAACCCGCCGUUAGCUACGGGAUUCAUCAAGGUCUACUCCCAUUUAUAUUUUUCUUGUAAUCAGUAGAAGCAUUUCAAAAUCGAACAGAGCAUUUAAAUCUUAUCAAAUCAUAUCAUUUCAAAGUUUAACAAUCACUUGUCAAAAUACUAUUUCUCAAAUAAGUAUAAAACCUUUUCAAUAACAAUAAUCAUAUCUUGUAAGAAUGAGAUCAUCUCAAAUAAUCUUUUCAGUAUCAUAUCAGUAAAAGACUUGUCCCACAUGCAAGUUCAAAACAGUCGGUAACACAUUUACUUUAUAAACCAUGUAAAAAUCAUGAAAUUUGUGAAAAACAAAUUGUGGUAAGAUUACUACUCACAGUACUCAUGCCGAAAUACCAAGCUCAUCACUCUAGUGAUCCGUACGAAUUCCUUUAAUCAAUCUAUAAACACAUUCAUAUCAAUUUCGAGUUAAUCUCCUUGUUAAGGCUAAUUCAUAAACUAAGAUAAAUAUUUUUCAACCAUUUUUGGAUCUUCUUGUCCAUCAAAUUGCUAAAUUAUAAUUAUCCUAGGUCAUAAGUAAUUUUCAUUGAUGCACAAUCUCCUAACGUCAGCCAAUUUACAUAACUUGUUCAUUUACUUCUGUCCCAAAUUACAACUUACUGUCUAACUCGUUGUCUCCGAUAAUAAAACUUCAGCAUCCGAAAUAGAUUUUCUAGACUAAGAAUUUCUCAUGGCAAAGCUACUAAAGAUUGUGGCAAGGCUGUUAAGGAUCAAGGUGAAGGUGUAAAGGAAUACGAUUUACCUCAACCUGUUUAAAUCUGUUGAAUCCUUCUCUUCUUUCUAUGUAUACCCCCCUUGCUUCGCACUGCCUCUCUUUCUUCUCUAUCUAUUCAAACUGCUUUCUUCCUUUAUUAUUGUUGUACGCUGAUUUCCCAAUCCCUACUCCCUGUUCUCUUUCUUCUUCUUCUUUUUUCGUUAAUUUGCCACAGCCCUUCGCUGCUUUGGGCCUUUAGCCCACUAUUCU